RNAcentral lists this ribosomal RNA (465 nucleotides) under uncultured bacterium. RNAcentral describes it as "partial 16S ribosomal RNA". It matches the Rfam family "Bacterial small subunit ribosomal RNA", at positions 28 to 507 of the family's 1533-position model. The record is from RNAcentral.
GAUGAACGCUGGCGGCGUGCUUAACACAUGCAAGUCGAACGAUGAAGCCCAGCUUGCUGGGUGGAUUAGUGGCGAACGGGUGAGUAACACGUGAGUAACCUGCCCUUAACUCUGGGAUAAGCCUGGGAAACUGGGUCUAAUACCGGAUAGGAGCGUCCACCGCAUGGUGGGUGUUGGAAAGAUUUAUCGGUUUUGGAUGGACUCGCGGCCUAUCAGCUUGUUGGUGAGGUAAUGGCUCACCAAGGCGACGACGGGUAGCCGGCCUGAGAGGGUGACCGGCCACACUGGAACUGGGAAACGGCCAGGACUCCUACGGGGGGCAGAGGUGGGGAAAUUGGACAAAGGGGCGAAGGCCGAAGGAACGGACGCGGCGUAGGGAAUAACGGCCUUCGGGUUGUAAACCUCUUCAGUAGGGAAGAAGCGAAAGUGACGGUACCUGCAGAAGAAGCACCGGCUAACUACGUG